RNAcentral lists this small RNA (220 nucleotides) under Mus caroli (Ryukyu mouse). Its description in RNAcentral is "sRNA (MGP_CAROLIEiJ_G0008847.1)". The record is from RNAcentral. Lineage: Eukaryota; Metazoa; Chordata; Mammalia; Rodentia; Muridae.
AGAUGAGGGGGUGAGCGGCUGGUUAGGCUGUGUCCCCUUCCUCUCUCACUGCACCCGGUAUCCUAUCUGAAGUAGUAUGCUGGGCUGAAGAGAACAACCUUUGGUGAAAGGUCAAAGCAGUUCUCAAUCUGUUGGCUGUGAUCCUUUGGGGGUUGAACGGCCCUUUCACAGGGGUCACCUAAGACCAUUGUAAAACACAGGUAUCUGCAUUACGAUUCAU